RNAcentral lists this unclassified non-coding RNA (249 nucleotides) under uncultured fungus. RNAcentral's name for it is "sequence contains ITS1". The record is from RNAcentral. Lineage: Eukaryota; Fungi.
AUGAUUGAUUUACCCACCGUCCACUUCUUACGAAGCAGCAGAUGGUUAAUAAUGGGGUUUACAUUCUAUGGACAUACAUGGUGGGAAUAAGACAUAGCACUCUUUCGAGCGCUACAGUUGGUGCACAGGUGUGGGGUCGAAAGGCAGACAAAGCGUGCACGAUGCUACCCAGUGGUUAGCCAGCACAGCUCCAUCCACCCCUCUAAAGGUGAAUCGAUAAUGAUCCUUCCGCAGGUUCACCUACGGAAA